RNAcentral lists this ribosomal RNA (472 nucleotides) under uncultured bacterium. Its description in RNAcentral is "bacterial SSU rRNA". It matches the Rfam family "Bacterial small subunit ribosomal RNA", at positions 355 to 825 of the family's 1533-position model. The record is from RNAcentral.
UGGGGAAUUUUGGACAAUGGGGGCAACCCUGAUCCAGCAAUGCCGCGUGAGUGAAGAAGGCCUUCGGGUUGUAAAGCUCUUUUGUCAGGGAAGAAACGGUAGUAGCGAAUAACUACUACUAAUGACGGUACUCGCAGAAGAAGCACCGGCUAACUACGUGCCAGCAGCCGCGGUAAUACGUAGGGUGCAGGCGUUAAUCGGAAUUACUGGGCGUAAAGCGCGUGUAGGCGGGUCGUUAAGUUGGGGGUGAAAUCCCGAGGCUCAACCUCGGAACUGCCUUCAAAACUGGCGACCUGGACUCAAGUAGAGGCAAGUGGGAUUGCGAGUGUAGAGGUGAAAUUCGUAGAUAUUCGCAGGAACACCAGUGGCGAAGGCGACUUGCUGGACUUGUAGUGACGCUGAGACGCGAAAGCGUGGGGAGCAAACAGGAUUAGAUACCCCUGUAGUCCCUGAGCGGGCUGGCAAGGCGCAU